RNAcentral lists this ribosomal RNA (453 nucleotides) under uncultured Paraprevotella sp. Its description in RNAcentral is "partial 16S ribosomal RNA". It matches the Rfam family "Bacterial small subunit ribosomal RNA", at positions 341 to 792 of the family's 1533-position model. Lineage: Bacteria; Pseudomonadati; Bacteroidota; Bacteroidia; Bacteroidales; Prevotellaceae. The record is from RNAcentral.
ACGGAAGGCAGCAGUGAGGAAUAUUGGUCAAUGGGCGCGAGCCUGAACCAGCCAAGUAGCGUGAAGGAUGACUGCCCUAUGGGUUGUAAACUUCUUUUGUUCGGGAAUAAAGUCAGGGACGUGUCCCUGUUUGUAUGUACCGUUCGAAUAAGCAUCGGCUAAUUCCGUGCCAGCAGCCGCGGUAAUACGGAAGAUGCGAGCGUUAUCCGGAUUUAUUGGGUUUAAAGGGAGCGUAGGCGGGCUGUUAAGUCAGCGGUUAAAUGUCAGUGCCCAACAUUGGCAUGCCGUUGAAACUGGCGGUCUUGAAUACACACAAGGAAGGUGGAAUUCGUCGUGUAGCGGUGAAAUGCUUAGAUAUGACGAAGAACUCCGAUUGCGAAGGCAGCCUUCUGGGGUGCGAUUGACGCUGAGGCUCGAAAGUGCGGGUAUCAAACAGGAUUAGAUACCCUGGUA